Long non-coding RNA from Salvia miltiorrhiza (redroot sage), 532 nucleotides. RefSeq lists it as uncharacterized. The record is from RefSeq and is a predicted model, not a curated record. The transcript has 3 exons. Lineage: Eukaryota; Viridiplantae; Streptophyta; Magnoliopsida; Lamiales; Lamiaceae.
UUUUCCCUACCACUAAUCUUUUUCCCUACCACUACUCCUACCUCUCCACCACACUACUCCUUUUCCCCCACCACUACAUUCUUUCUCCCACUCUCACAACUUUUCUCCCACCAUUAUCACACUCCAUAGAAGCCUUUGAAGCCCCAAGAGAAGUAGCAAAGCAAGGGAGAGUGUGGGAAAACUAUAGAGUGAAGGUUGUGCUUCGAGGGUCCGGGCGACAGAAAGUGAAGCCGAAGAAGAAACGACUCCACGCCAGCUUUAAGAACAAUUGAGGUUGAGCAGGCGAUGGAAUGGAUCGGUGUUGAGCGGAUUUCCCUUUUGAUGUUUAUGUAAUGAAACCUUGAGUAUGCAUCUCCAUAUGCAUAACUCACACGUUUUUUUCGCUGCAAACACUCUGACUUAUUUAUCAUUUCUACUUGAACUUAUUACUACUUCAUUUUAAUUAACUUUCAGUUGGGGUCUAGUCGUUAUGGCAGACUCAUUUGUGAAUUACCCAAGUGGUUAUAUAUAUAUACCACUAGUUUGUUAUUAA